CAAUAGCGUAUAUUAUUGAUGUUGCAGUUGAAACGUUCGUAGUCGGAUUUAAUUUAGGGUUGAGGAACUUGUUUUCCAAGAGGAACUUGUUUUCCACAAGCUCGCCUUUUGCACUUUACUUUGAGUGAAUCGGCGUGUUUCACGCAGGCAAUCGCCUUGAACGAUUUACCAUUGUCUAACCAGAAUGUGAAAAGCUUCCUUGUCGCUUCGGAGCGUUUUCUACACUGAUAGGAACGGUUGAGGGCAUUCGUAUUCGACUGCUAGAGGUGAAAUUCUUUGAUUAGUCGAGGAUGAACUACCGCGAAAGCUUCUGCCAAAGACGUUUCCUUUGA
RNAcentral lists this ribosomal RNA (332 nucleotides) under uncultured eukaryote. Its description in RNAcentral is "partial 18S ribosomal RNA". It matches the Rfam family "Eukaryotic small subunit ribosomal RNA", at positions 592 to 976 of the family's 1831-position model. The record is from RNAcentral.